This 73-nucleotide transfer RNA is filed under the name marine sediment metagenome. RNAcentral describes it as "tRNA-Ser". It matches the Rfam family "tRNA". From Rfam's summary of the family: Transfer RNA (tRNA) molecules are approximately 80 nucleotides in length. Their secondary structure includes four short double-helical elements and three loops (D, anti-codon, and T loops). The record is from RNAcentral.
GCCCCGGUAGUGAAAUUGGAAAUCACGCGUACCUACUAAGUUCGUGUUCGGGGUUCGAGUCCUCGCCGGGGCA